UCCCAGCUUCAUUUUUCAUUUUCCAUAUUUCUGUAUUUGUAUCGAACCUUGGAAUUUGCUUAAGACAUUGAAAAUUCUUUCAACCUAAUCCAUGAUGUCAUAGGUCAUUAACUUAUUACUUAGACCUCAAUGGAGCUCUUAGAAGUUGAUAGCUCGGCAUGUUUGCCAUGUAAGGAAGCAAUACAUACCCAAUAUUUAAAUCACGGAUUUGUGGAUAUUUGCCAAUGAAUUGGAAACUUUCAACUAACAAGCCACAGAACUUCCGUGG
RNAcentral lists this long non-coding RNA (268 nucleotides) under Elaeis guineensis (African oil palm). Its description in RNAcentral is "long non-coding RNA (EGUI_LNC070430)". Lineage: Eukaryota; Viridiplantae; Streptophyta; Magnoliopsida; Arecales; Arecaceae. The record is from RNAcentral.